UCAUGUAUUUUAGUUAUCGAUUCAAAGGUUUGGUCCAAUGGGAUUUUAAAGCUUUUAAUUUAAAAAAAAAAAUUUUUUUUUGCUGAUUAUUGUGUUCAAUCUUGUUAUUUGAUGGAUUGAGUUGAAAAAUUACUGGGUAAAAUAGCUCCCCAAUUGUUUGUAAAAAGUACCCAUUGAUUUCGCUGCUGUUCGGAGUUGAGUUGAUCAUGACUGAAAGAAAAACCCCAUUUUGAUAUUGAGACUUCAGCACUGUGUCCUUUGGGGAGGAAAUAGAGAGUAAUAAAUGGGAAACGUCUGUGUUGGAUCAAGGUUUUCGAAGGAUGGUUUCUUUCAAUCCAUUUCGCAUUCGUUGUGGUCGCGAUCCCCAGAUAUGAUUCCCUAUACUAAGAGAGAAAUUACUAGUAGUGAGGUGCCUUCAUUAGCUAAAGACCCUGAUGGUUCUCAAUCUGUCCAAAACAAGCCCCCACAAUUGGUGAAGAUAGUAAAAGAAGAGACUAAACAAGAAGAACUCAUAAUAUCAGAACCAGUGAAGAUAGUGAAGGAAGAGAUCAAACCAGCAAAACCCACAAUACCAGAGCCGGUGAAAACGGUAAAGGAAGAGACCAAACCAGCACAACCCACAAGGCCCAGGAAGGCACACAAUGUCAAGAGGAUGGCGAGUGCAGGGUUGCAAGCAGAGUCUCUGUUGAAAACAAAAACAGGUCAUCUGAAGGAAUUUUACAAUUUGGGGCAAAAACUAGGACAUGGGCAAUUUGGGACUACAUUUCUCUGUGUGGAGAAAGCAACAAGGAAGAAAUAUGCUUGCAAAUUCAUUGCAAAAAGGAAGUUGCUGACAAAGGAUAAUGUGGAUGAUGUGAGGAAAGAAAUCGAAAUCAUGCAUCACUUUUAUAGGCACCCCAAUGUCAUCUCAAUCAAAUGAGCUUAUGAGGAUGCUAUGGCAGUUCAUGUUGUGAUGGAAUUGUGUACAGGUGAUGAGCUCUUUGAUAGGAUUGUCAAGCGAGCGCAUUACACAGAGAGAAAGGCAGCCGAGCUUGCUGGGACUAUAGUUGGUGUAAUAGAAGCUAGGGGAAAUUUUCCAUGAUGUGUUUGGAAGCCCAUGCUAUGUUGCGCCUGAAGUUCUGAAUAAGCAUUAUAGUUCAAAAGCAGAUGUUUGGAGUACUUGUGUGAUGAUUUACAUUCUCCUCUGCAUUUUGGGCAGAAACUGAACACGAAAUCUUUGAAGAGGUAUCUCUGAAAGUGCAAAAGAUUUAGUCAGGAAAAUGCUUGUUAAAGACCCCAAAAAGCGGCAAACUGCACAUGGAGUUCUAUGCCAUCCUUGGGUUCAGGUUGAUGGAGUGGCACCGAUAAGCCUCUUGACCCUGCAGUCUUAAGCCGCUUGACACACUUUUCUGAUAUGAACAAGCUUAAGAAAAUGGCUCUUCGAGUAAGUGUUAACUAUGGUAUCAAAAGUCACUGCUACAUAGGGCCUCUGUAUCUGGACCUGUAUGGAUUCUAUUUUAUAUGAUGAUAUACAUUUAAUUUCAAAAUUUAGCACAUAGUAUGCUUUUACAGUUUUAAA
This is a non-coding RNA of Camellia sinensis, 1558 nucleotides long. NCBI's taxonomy places the organism in Eukaryota, Viridiplantae, Streptophyta, Magnoliopsida, Ericales, Theaceae. The record is from RefSeq and is a predicted model, not a curated record.